RNAcentral lists this ribosomal RNA (375 nucleotides) under Regulus regulus. RNAcentral's name for it is "partial 16S ribosomal RNA". It matches the Rfam family "Bacterial large subunit ribosomal RNA", at positions 2019 to 2556 of the family's 2925-position model. Lineage: Eukaryota; Metazoa; Chordata; Aves; Passeriformes; Regulidae. The record is from RNAcentral.
UCUCUUACAGGCAAUCGGUAAAUUGAUCUCCCUGUGCAAAAGCAGGGAUAAAACCAUAAGACGAGAAGACCCUGUGGAACUUUAAAACCAGCAGCCACCCCAAAACACAUACACCCCCACUGGGCUCACUGACACACUGGGAGCUUGGCCUGCGUUUUUCGGUUGGGGCGACCUUGGAGAAAAACAAAUCCUCCAAAAAUUAGACCAUACAUCUAGACUGAGAGCAACCCCUCAACGUGCUAAUAGCAACCAGACCCAAUAUAAUUGAUCAAUGGACCAAGCUACCCCAGGGAUAACAGCGCAAUCCCCUCCGAGAGUCCGUAUCGACGAGGGGGUUUACGACCUCGAUGUUGGAUCAGGACAUCCUGGUGGCUG